AGAGCGAACGCUGGCGGCAGGCUUAACACAUGCAAGUCGAGCGGGCGUAGCAAUACGUCAGCGGCAGACGGGUGAGUAACGCGUGGGAACAUACCUUUUGGUUCGGAACAACACAGGGAAACUUGUGCUAAUACCGGAUAAGCCCUUACGGGGAAAGAUUUAUCGCCGAAAGAUUGGCCCGCGUCUGAUUAGCUAGUUGGUGAGGUAACGGCUCACCAAGGCGACGAUCAGUAGCUGGUCUGAGAGGAUGAUCAGCCACAUUGGGACUGAGACACGGCCCAAACUCCUACGGGAGGCAGCAGUGGGAAUAUUGGACAAUGGGCGCAAGCCUGAUCCAGCCAUGCCGCGUGAGUGAUGAAGGCCCUAGGGUUGUAAAGCACUUUAGUUGGGAAGAAGCUGUGUAUUUUAAGAGAUAAUACAGUUGACGGUACCCAAAGAAUAAGCACCGGCUAACUCUGCGCCAGCAGCCGCGGU
This 474-nucleotide ribosomal RNA is filed under the name uncultured bacterium. Its description in RNAcentral is "SSU rRNA". It matches the Rfam family "Bacterial small subunit ribosomal RNA", at positions 26 to 521 of the family's 1533-position model. The record is from RNAcentral.